Molecule: long non-coding RNA, 1859 nt
Filed under: Theobroma cacao (cacao)
Lineage: Eukaryota; Viridiplantae; Streptophyta; Magnoliopsida; Malvales; Malvaceae
Description: long non-coding RNA (TCAC_LNC003709)
Source: RNAcentral
UAAAUAAUUUUUUAUAGUGUAAAUGCAAAAUAAGUUCCUACAUACAGUAGUAAAGAUAACUAGAGUAUGAAAUUUAAUUUACAAUAACAAGUAGACCCCCGAAUAAACAAAAGUAAAGAGGACUGUGAGCCUACAAUUUGGAGGAUGCAAAUCCAAUGAUAGUCCUUGAUGAGAUCAGCUAUCUACAGCCUAUUCUGAGCUUGAAAUGGAUGGAAAAGGGAGUGGUAAGAUUAUAAAAUCUCAGUGAGUAAACAGACAUCAUCAUAAACAUCUAGAGUUGAGAACAUGGAGACGAUAAAGUAAAUCAUCGUAAACUGGGUCACAGCAUUAGAACACAUUUCAUUCAAAAUACGUAAUGAGGCUUAUGAAUCUCAUAAAAACUAGGCUUGUGCCAUAAAUCCAUCCUCGGGGACACCUUGGUCGAGGCAUCCUACCGAGACCGCCAAGGCUGUUAAAAAUUCACAUUUCGCAUAAAUCAUGUUUUUAUUUUGAAAACAUAGCCGUUCCUUGGAGUUGGCUAAGUUUCCCCUUACGUGGUGGUUUGGCGUGAAGUGAACCCUAAGCUUUACCCCAGGAGAUACCCUACGCGCCUCUCCGUUCGAGAUAGGAAUAUAAUGGGGUUUACCGUGCCCCUCUAAAAGGCUGGUUCACAGAAACCCCCUACUGCAGUGAUUAAUUAAUAUAUAAUCCACCAAUUCAAUAAAAUUUGCAAUAGCAUGACAUGGCAAUUAUUUUAUUCACAGCCUUUCAAGGCAAACAAAUAAUUUGUAUUUCAAUACAAUUGCCAACCAGCCAAUCAUGCUCGAUUUAUCAUAAGCUAAUCAAUUUAAACAAUCAAAUUAUAACAAUUAACAAUCUCCGUGUACUCUAUUUUUCAACAUCAUUAUUAAUUUUAAAAUAAUUUAUAAAUUAAUUUCAUUGAAACACAUUUAUUCAUAAAAUAUGAAAAUUUACCUUUUUAAAUCCCUUUUUCCAUAGAAUUCACAAAAUCAUUUAAAAACCACCCUAGAUAAUUAAAAUGACAGUAAGUUUACUCACAAUGUCUAGAGUGCAGAUUUUCAAAGUACUCAGACUAUUGGUCCUCGGGUGCAAUUUCCUUGCCUUUAUCGGAGGACUCACCACCUUGACACAGUACAAAAAUCGAGAAACUUACUACAUUGGUACUAAAUUGAAAUUAAACUAAUUUAGACUACUAAUGCAUGAUAUGGAAUGCAAAAUGCACUGGUAACCAUCUAAAUUUGGUAUCGGCCUAAUUCGUCUUAUCACCCGAUUAAUUGGCCAACGCGUCCAAUUUAGCUCCAAAUUGCUCCAUUUCUUUUCCAAUAUCUUAAUUCACCAAACUCAAGUCAAAUAACCUAAAAUUUUACAAAACUAUCUUCACUUUUCUUUUUAGAAUUUUCAGUCAAUAAUGGUGCAUUAAUACCAUGAUUUUUUCUACUACUUUUCCACACUAUAAUUCAUCAUUUUCUAACCAAUUCUCUUAAAAUAAAAAUCAAAUUCAUUCUCACUCAACACAAGGUAGGUUCAGCCAUUGAUGGAUGUUGGGGAAUAUGAACUCUUUUCUUGUUAUUUUGUUUCUAGACAUGGUAAACUAACUAAAAUCACUAACAUAACUUAGAAUCAAAUCAAUCUAACAUCAUUCUCUCUCCAUACCCAUUCCGACCAGCCAUGAAUUCAUCAUGAAAACAUGUAAUUUAACCAUGAAAAAUGAGGAGAAAUGCAUGGGAAAGGUAGAUCUCAAGUUUUAUUGAAAAAAUAUUACCUUUUUCACUUGUUUCCUUGAAUUUUCACCAAUUUUCCCUUGAAUUUCUCCACCUAGGGUUUGUUCUCCUCCUUUUUCCCUUUGUUCUUGGUGUGGC